UGCUAGAAUGAGAAUGAAUGUACACUUUUGAAUAAGAAGGACUUUUUUUGUAGGGAACGGGGUGCAAAUCCUCGACAGUCCCUUUCUACUGUAACAUGGACGAAAUCUUAAAACUCACUGGAGAGCAUAAUCUGGGAAGAGAAGAGAGUAGGAUGAAGUGAAGUCAGGAUAUCUGCAGGAAAAGUUCUGGACAU
This is a non-coding RNA of Enterococcus canis, 194 nucleotides long. NCBI's taxonomy places the organism in Bacteria, Bacillati, Bacillota, Bacilli, Lactobacillales, Enterococcaceae. The record is from Rfam.